AUCCUUCCGCAAGGGCAAUUCGUGUAUCUAUGAGGUCCCAUCCGAUGGUCACGAUAUUGCUGAUUGAAAACUUUCAGUCCGGUUACCCAGGAAGCGCCUAACGGCGCUUGCCUAAUAUUUGGGGGCGCUAAGCA
RNAcentral lists this small nuclear RNA (134 nucleotides) under Monosiga brevicollis. RNAcentral's name for it is "U4 spliceosomal RNA". It matches the Rfam family "U4 spliceosomal RNA". From Rfam's summary of the family: U4 small nuclear RNA (U4 snRNA) is a component of the major U2-dependent spliceosome. The structure of U4 snRNA from yeast and human has been reported. The record is from Rfam by way of RNAcentral. Lineage: Eukaryota; Choanoflagellata; Craspedida; Salpingoecidae.